CACAUUUCAGUAAUUUGUAUUUAGAAAUAAUGCAGACAUCCAAUGUGAUGAAGAAAACUAGCCGCAUGAUGCUGGGGAGAGAGGCAGAAUUAGUCACACUAUUCUUUGUUACUGUUAUGCACCUUUAGUU
Long non-coding RNA from Etheostoma spectabile (orangethroat darter), 130 nucleotides. RefSeq lists it as uncharacterized. The record is from RefSeq and is a predicted model, not a curated record. NCBI's taxonomy places the organism in Eukaryota, Metazoa, Chordata, Actinopteri, Perciformes, Percidae. The transcript has 3 exons.